GGGCUUGUAGCUCAGUUGGUUAGAACACACGCUUGAUAAGCGUGGGGUCGGAGGUUCAAGUCCUCCCAGGCCCACCA
Molecule: transfer RNA, 77 nt
Filed under: Brucella suis bv. 1
Lineage: Bacteria; Pseudomonadati; Pseudomonadota; Alphaproteobacteria; Hyphomicrobiales; Brucellaceae
Description: tRNA-Ile
Rfam family: tRNA
About the family: Transfer RNA (tRNA) molecules are approximately 80 nucleotides in length.
Source: RNAcentral